AGAUCUCCUGAAGGAACGUUGAAGACGACGACGUUGAUAGGCCGGGUGUGUAAGCGCAGCGAUGCGUUGAGCUAACCGGUACUAAUGAACCGUGAGGCUUAACCUU
Molecule: ribosomal RNA, 106 nt
Filed under: Salmonella enterica
Lineage: Bacteria; Pseudomonadati; Pseudomonadota; Gammaproteobacteria; Enterobacterales; Enterobacteriaceae
Also listed under: 2 other names
Description: partial 23S ribosomal RNA
Rfam family: Bacterial large subunit ribosomal RNA
Source: RNAcentral